RNAcentral lists this ribosomal RNA (406 nucleotides) under uncultured bacterium. Its description in RNAcentral is "partial 16S ribosomal RNA". It matches the Rfam family "Bacterial small subunit ribosomal RNA", at positions 30 to 526 of the family's 1533-position model. The record is from RNAcentral.
AUUGAACGCUGGCGGCAGGCCUAACACAUGCAAGUCGAGCGAGCGGCGGACGGGUGAGUAAUGUCUGGGAAACUGCCUGAUGGAGGGGGAUAACUACUGGAAAAGAGAGCGCUAAUCGCAUACCACCUGAUGUGCCCAGAUGGGAUUAGCUAGUGGGUGGGGUAACGGCUCACCUAGGCGACGAUCCCUAGCUGGUCUGAGAGGGUGACCAGCCACACUGGAACUGAGACACGGUCCAGACUCCUACGGGAGGCAGCAGUGGGGAAUAUUGCACAAUGGGCGAAAGCCUGAUGCAGCCAUGCCGCGUGUGUGAAGAAGGCCUUCGGGUUGUAAAGCACUUUCAGCGGGGAGGCGUUACCCGCAGAAGAAGCACCGGCUAACUCCGUGCCAGCAGCCGCGGUAAUUC